RNAcentral lists this ribosomal RNA (520 nucleotides) under uncultured bacterium. RNAcentral's name for it is "bacterial SSU rRNA". It matches the Rfam family "Bacterial small subunit ribosomal RNA", at positions 997 to 1514 of the family's 1533-position model. The record is from RNAcentral.
ACUCUAGAGAUAGAGCUUUCCCCUUCGGGGGACAAAGUGACAGGUGGUGCAUGGUUGUCGUCAGCUCGUGUCGUGAGAUGUUGGGUUAAGUCCCGCAACGAGCGCAACCCUUAAGCUUAGUUGCCAUCAUUAAGUUGGGCACUCUAGGUUGACUGCCGGUGACAAACCGGAGGAAGGUGGGGAUGACGUCAAAUCAUCAUGCCCCUUAUGAUUUGGGCUACACACGUGCUACAAUGGACAAUACAAAGGGCAGCUAAACCGCGAGGUCAUGCAAAUCCCAUAAAGUUGUUCUCAGUUCGGAUUGUAGUCUGCAACUCGACUACAUGAAGCUGGAAUCGCUAGUAAUCGUAGAUCAGCAUGCUACGGUGAAUACGUUCCCGGGUCUUGUACACACCGCCCGUCACACCACGAGAGUUUGUAACACCCGAAGCCGGUGGAGUAACCAUUUAUGGAGCUAGCCGUCGAAGGUGGGACAAAUGAUUGGGGUGAAGUCGUAACAAGGUAGCCGUAUCGGAAGGUG